AUUGAACGCUGGCGGCAGGCCUAACACAUGCAAGUCGAGCGGAUGAAGGGAGCUUGCUCCUGGAUUCAGCGGCGGACGGGUGAGUAAUGCCUAGGAAUCUGCCUGGUAGUGGGGGAUAACGUCCGGAAACGGGCGCUAAUAUCGCAUACGUCCUGAGGGUGAAAGUGGGGGAUCUUCGGACCUCACGCUAUCAGAUGAGCCUAGGUCGGAUUAGCUAGUUGGUGGGGUAAAGGCCUACCAAGGCGACGAUCCGUAACUGGUCUGAGAGGAUGAUCAGUCACACUGGAACUGAGACACGGUCCAGACUCCUACGGGAGGCAGCAGUGGGGAAUAUUGGACAAUGGGCGAAAGCCUGAUCCAGCCAUGCCGCGUGUGUGAAGAAGGUCUUCGGACUGUAAAGCACUUUAAGUUGGGAGGAAGGGCAGUAAGUUAAUACCUUGCUGUUUUGACGUUACCAACAGAAUAAGCACCGGCUAACUUCGUG
Molecule: ribosomal RNA, 484 nt
Filed under: uncultured bacterium
Lineage: Bacteria
Description: partial 16S ribosomal RNA
Rfam family: Bacterial small subunit ribosomal RNA
Source: RNAcentral